UUUUGGCUAAUGGCUGCUUGCCUUGCAUCUAAGCUUGGUUGGUGGCUGUUAGCUGGGUGGUUUCGGGGAUGUCUACCGUAAAGGUGCAUGAGUGGUGUUUGGUUUGUUACGGGUGGUUGGCUCUUUGCUUGCGCAACAACUUCCACCUGGCAUACCUCUUCAGUUUUGUGUCAAUGCUUGUAUCGCAUUGAACGCACCGUGGGUUUCUUGUGUUGCAUGCCUAACUGAUGGUAUCGUUUAAUGAAUUGAUGUCUAUUUUCGUCUUGUGUCGCACAUGCGAUGCGAGAUGAACCUGAAAGCAGCCUUUGUGAUCCACUCUUUCGAUGCACACACAUCAAUUUUGUGGCUCACUUAGUGCUGCUUGGUCUCAUCGAUAUGGAACCUUGUGUGGGCAUGGGAUCUUUUACUAGCUCCUUGCUUGCCCUAGUUAAGCUUUUCAAUUACGAUUUCCUAUCACGUCUUAACGUGGUAGGCUAUAUCGAAUAUGAAUG
Molecule: unclassified non-coding RNA, 491 nt
Filed under: Ozothamnus vagans
Lineage: Eukaryota; Viridiplantae; Streptophyta; Magnoliopsida; Asterales; Asteraceae
Description: partial external transcribed spacer
Source: RNAcentral